GAUCCUGGCUCAGGAUGAACGCUGGCGGCGUGCMUAAWACAUGCAAGUCGAGCGCGUUUYGAAGGUGCUUGCACCUUCAAUGAAACGAGCGGCGGACGGGUGAGUAACACGUAGGUAACCUACCUUUAUGACUGGGAUAACCACGGGAAACCGGGGCUAAUACCGGAUAAGAUUUAGCUUCGCAUGAAGCAGAAGUAAAAGGCAGUUUCGGCUGUCACAUAAAGAUGGACCUGCGGCGCAUUAGCUAGUUGGAGAGGUAAGAGCUCCCCAAGGCGACGAUGCGUAGCCGACCUGAGAGGGUGAUCGGCCACACUGGGACUGAGACACGGCCCAGACUCCUACGGGAGGCAGCAGUAGGGAAUCUUCCGCAAUGGACGAAAGUCUGACGGAGCAACGCCGCGUGAGUGAAGAAGGUUUUCGGAUCGUAAAGCUCUGUUGUUAAGGAAGAACACCAKGAUAGGAAAUGAUCGAUGGAKACGGUACUAACCA
RNAcentral lists this ribosomal RNA (489 nucleotides) under Macrococcus brunensis. RNAcentral's name for it is "bacterial SSU rRNA". It matches the Rfam family "Bacterial small subunit ribosomal RNA", at positions 15 to 485 of the family's 1533-position model. The record is from RNAcentral. Lineage: Bacteria; Bacillati; Bacillota; Bacilli; Caryophanales; Staphylococcaceae.